This 7110-nucleotide long non-coding RNA is filed under the name Citrus sinensis (sweet orange). RNAcentral's name for it is "long non-coding RNA (CSIN_LNC000153)". Lineage: Eukaryota; Viridiplantae; Streptophyta; Magnoliopsida; Sapindales; Rutaceae. The record is from RNAcentral.
AACAACUUGCCCUUCAGAGCAUUUUUCUCCUCAUUUCGACCACACACUUCAGACACAUUAAUUAAGGCAGUACUUUGCGUCCUCUCAGAUUUAUCCUCCUUACUUCUAGUGACACUCAAAUUAAAAGUAUCUUUCUGGCUAGCAAUAUCAUCUAAAGUUUCAUUCAUUUCUUUUAUCUUUUUAGCAAUAUCACAACACAGAAAGAGUUGUUUGAAACCAAAGCAAGAGGCAGCAGGAAAGAAAGAGAUGCAUACCUUCUGCAGGAAAGAAAGAGCAUUAUCAGCAUCAACUCCCUCGAUUUGCAGUUUGAGCCUGGCAGUAUUCCACUCAUCCAAUACAUCUUCAGUGUCGUAGGAUGCGUGUUUGAGCUUGUCUAAAGAAAUUUCAGAAAUAUGUUUUCACUACAACUGUUAGAUGCAUGAAUAAAACAGAGGACGAUACAACAUCAGAUUUGACCACUGAUUGAAUUGCUGUUCAUAUGACUGCAGUUAAAAAAAAAAAAAAACAUCGAUGAAUACCAAAACACAAGUCACUGUCGUUAAUAUUUCUCUUAUUAACGCAGGUGAGAUUACCUUGAUGAAUGGAGGCGGUUGGUGUGUUCACUGGGCUCAAAGUACAUGACUGCUGGAGAUGAUGCUGCUUUUGGAAUGAUAGGUUGGGCUGAGAGUUUCAUGCAAUCAUUGUUUCCCAGGUGGUUGUAGCUAACAGAUAAUUUGGCACCCACCAGCCAAUCAAUUUCAUCACAAUCAGAAACCAUCUUUUUCCAUAAAGUGCUUAUAACGAUCAAAACUAUAUAUAUACCUGAUUCCAGCCCUUACAAGAAAAUAAACCAUAACAGACUUCAUCUUUGUCUUGCCAAUCUUCAAUUCUUCAUCUCUUCUACUGUUGCUCCGAAUGGCGAAAACAAUAAGCGCUGCAAACAAAAACGAAGUUAAACAAAAGAAAGGCACAAUCUUUUGCUUGUCUAAAAAACUUCAACCGAACAACAAAGCAAAGAGCAAGGUUAUCAAAUUUAAGAACCUAAAAUCUCAGCCUCCUUAAUUUUCUCCAAAGAAGCAAGAAGGUUCACCAUUGUACCUUCUCCAUCAUAAGAUCCAACUCUAUUUAAUGAUUCUUUAGUGAGCCAAAAAAUUGGCUUGUUGCACUUUGUCCUUUGUGGCACAGGAGAUUCAUCUGAGAACAAAAAUUAAAUCAAUAAAGUGACUCGCACUUGAUUAAGAUUUAAUCAAAAAAUUUAAUAAGAAACUCUUGAUUGCUAUGAAGCCAACAGUGAGAGUUCACUGUUCCUACGCCACCCCACAGGCAUACUCUAAAAAUAAGCCAAAAAAAAAAAUCCGAAGAAAUUCUGAUUUCCAAAUUGACCGACCAAAGUUAAAAAAUGAAAAGAAUAAGAAUCUACAGAGCCUGCUGUACGGCCAAGGCGGAUGUACGGUACAGCAGUUUUAUUUAGUUUCUAUCCGACAUUUACUGUGAUAGGCAAUGAAAUUGGUGCAAAUAAAUUACGGACCAACAUUGUUUAAUCUCAUUGGACAGAUCGUUAUAACUCAAUAGUACAGCAGGUAAAAUAUCUUUUUCAAAAUCUUCCACCUGCCAAAUUUCACUAUCUAAGAUAUUUUGCCACUCUUCUCUAGUUUUUUUAACCACAACAAACCCCAGAUAGUUUUAGCCGCAAGUGGCAACAUUCUGGUUUAGACAAUUAUUUCUACCAAUUUCUUCUAAUUGUUCGCACUCUAAACGAGAUCGAUUGAGAAAAGCAAAUCGUUUAAAUAGCGACAACAUUCUGGUUUAGACAAUUCUUUAAUGAAGAUAAGAUAGAAUUAUUAAUGCGUUGAUGAAGUGAAUUCAGUUCACCUAAAUUAGGAGUAGAACCUUCUAAAUUUUCGAUGAUGGCUUUCGCAAUUCGAAACUCAUCGAAAGGGUCCGAAACACAAACCCAGAUCCUAACAUUAAAAUUGUUGAUUACAUCUGCAUCGUUGUAAGCCAAUUGAGCAAGAGUUGUCUUUCCGAUACCACCCAUCCCUACGAGAGAGAUGAGUUGGAUGGCAUUUGGUUGUUCAGCAGUUUCACUUAACAACUUGCCCUUCAGAGCAUUUUUCUCCUCAUUUCGACCACACACUUCAGACACAUUAAUUAAGGCAGUACUUUGCGUCCUCUCAGAUUUAUCCUCCUUACUUCUAGUGACACUCAAAUUAAAAGUAUCUUUCUGGCUAGCAAUAUCAUCUAAAGUUUCAUUCAUUUCUUUUAUCUUUUUAGCAAUAUCACAACACAGAAAGAGUUGUUUGAAACCAAAGCAAGAGGCAGCAGGAAAGAAAGAGAUGCAUACCUUCUGCAGGAAAGAAAGAGCAUUAUCAGCAUCAACUCCCUCGAUUUGCAGUUUGAGCCUGGCAGUAUUCCACUCAUCCAAUACAUCUUCAGUGUCGUAGGAUGCGUGUUUGAGCUUGUCUAAAGAAAUUUCAGAAAUAUGUUUUCACUACAACUGUUAGAUGCAUGAAUAAAACAGAGGACGAUACAACAUCAGAUUUGACCACUGAUUGAAUUGCUGUUCAUAUGACUGCAGUUAAAAAAAAAAAAAAACAUCGAUGAAUACCAAAACACAAGUCACUGUCGUUAAUAUUUCUCUUAUUAACGCAGGUGAGAUUACCUUGAUGAAUGGAGGCGGUUGGUGUGUUCACUGGGCUCAAAGUACAUGACUGCUGGAGAUGAUGCUGCUUUUGGAAUGAUAGGUUGGGCUGAGAGUUUCAUGCAAUCAUUGUUUCCCAGGUGGUUGUAGCUAACAGAUAAUUUGGCACCCACCAGCCAAUCAAUUUCAUCACAAUCAGAAACCAUCUUUUUCCAUAAAGUGCUUAUAACGAUCAAAACUAUAUAUAUACCUGAUUCCAGCCCUUACAAGAAAAUAAACCAUAACAGACUUCAUCUUUGUCUUGCCAAUCUUCAAUUCUUCAUCUCUUCUACUGUUGCUCCGAAUGGCGAAAACAAUAAGCGCUGCAAACAAAAACGAAGUUAAACAAAAGAAAGGCACAAUCUUUUGCUUGUCUAAAAAACUUCAACCGAACAACAAAGCAAAGAGCAAGGUUAUCAAAUUUAAGAACCUAAAAUCUCAGCCUCCUUAAUUUUCUCCAAAGAAGCAAGAAGGUUCACCAUUGUACCUUCUCCAUCAUAAGAUCCAACUCUAUUUAAUGAUUCUUUAGUGAGCCAAAAAAUUGGCUUGUUGCACUUUGUCCUUUGUGGCACAGGAGAUUCAUCUGAGAACAAAAAUUAAAUCAAUAAAGUGACUCGCACUUGAUUAAGAUUUAAUCAAAAAAUUUAAUAAGAAACUCUUGAUUGCUAUGAAGCCAACAGUGAGAGUUCACUGUUCCUACGCCACCCCACAGGCAUACUCUAAAAAUAAGCCAAAAAAAAAAAUCCGAAGAAAUUCUGAUUUCCAAAUUGACCGACCAAAGUUAAAAAAUGAAAAGAAUAAGAAUCUACAGAGCCUGCUGUACGGCCAAGGCGGAUGUACGGUACAGCAGUUUUAUUUAGUUUCUAUCCGACAUUUACUGUGAUAGGCAAUGAAAUUGGUGCAAAUAAAUUACGGACCAACAUUGUUUAAUCUCAUUGGACAGAUCGUUAUAACUCAAUAGUACAGCAGGUAAAAUAUCUUUUUCAAAAUCUUCCACCUGCCAAAUUUCACUAUCUAAGAUAUUUUGCCACUCUUCUCUAGUUUUUUUAACCACAACAAACCCCAGAUAGUUUUAGCCGCAAGUGGCAACAUUCUGGUUUAGACAAUUAUUUCUACCAAUUUCUUCUAAUUGUUCGCACUCUAAACGAGAUCGAUUGAGAAAAGCAAAUCGUUUAAAUAGCGACAACAUUCUGGUUUAGACAAUUCUUUAAUGAAGAUAAGAUAGAAUUAUUAAUGCGUUGAUGAAGUGAAUUCAGUUCACCUAAAUUAGGAGUAGAACCUUCUAAAUUUUCGAUGAUGGCUUUCGCAAUUCGAAACUCAUCGAAAGGGUCCGAAACACAAACCCAGAUCCUAACAUUAAAAUUGUUGAUUACAUCUGCAUCGUUGUAAGCCAAUUGAGCAAGAGUUGUCUUUCCGAUACCACCCAUCCCUACGAGAGAGAUGAGUUGGAUGGCAUUUGGUUGUUCAGCAGUUUCACUUAACAACUUGCCCUUCAGAGCAUUUUUCUCCUCAUUUCGACCACACACUUCAGACACAUUAAUUAAGGCAGUACUUUGCGUCCUCUCAGAUUUAUCCUCCUUACUUCUAGUGACACUCAAAUUAAAAGUAUCUUUCUGGCUAGCAAUAUCAUCUAAAGUUUCAUUCAUUUCUUUUAUCUUUUUAGCAAUAUCACAACACAGAAAGAGUUGUUUGAAACCAAAGCAAGAGGCAGCAGGAAAGAAAGAGAUGCAUACCUUCUGCAGGAAAGAAAGAGCAUUAUCAGCAUCAACUCCCUCGAUUUGCAGUUUGAGCCUGGCAGUAUUCCACUCAUCCAAUACAUCUUCAGUGUCGUAGGAUGCGUGUUUGAGCUUGUCUAAAGAAAUUUCAGAAAUAUGUUUUCACUACAACUGUUAGAUGCAUGAAUAAAACAGAGGACGAUACAACAUCAGAUUUGACCACUGAUUGAAUUGCUGUUCAUAUGACUGCAGUUAAAAAAAAAAAAAAACAUCGAUGAAUACCAAAACACAAGUCACUGUCGUUAAUAUUUCUCUUAUUAACGCAGGUGAGAUUACCUUGAUGAAUGGAGGCGGUUGGUGUGUUCACUGGGCUCAAAGUACAUGACUGCUGGAGAUGAUGCUGCUUUUGGAAUGAUAGGUUGGGCUGAGAGUUUCAUGCAAUCAUUGUUUCCCAGGUGGUUGUAGCUAACAGAUAAUUUGGCACCCACCAGCCAAUCAAUUUCAUCACAAUCAGAAACCAUCUUUUUCCAUAAAGUGCUUAUAACGAUCAAAACUAUAUAUAUACCUGAUUCCAGCCCUUACAAGAAAAUAAACCAUAACAGACUUCAUCUUUGUCUUGCCAAUCUUCAAUUCUUCAUCUCUUCUACUGUUGCUCCGAAUGGCGAAAACAAUAAGCGCUGCAAACAAAAACGAAGUUAAACAAAAGAAAGGCACAAUCUUUUGCUUGUCUAAAAAACUUCAACCGAACAACAAAGCAAAGAGCAAGGUUAUCAAAUUUAAGAACCUAAAAUCUCAGCCUCCUUAAUUUUCUCCAAAGAAGCAAGAAGGUUCACCAUUGUACCUUCUCCAUCAUAAGAUCCAACUCUAUUUAAUGAUUCUUUAGUGAGCCAAAAAAUUGGCUUGUUGCACUUUGUCCUUUGUGGCACAGGAGAUUCAUCUGAGAACAAAAAUUAAAUCAAUAAAGUGACUCGCACUUGAUUAAGAUUUAAUCAAAAAAUUUAAUAAGAAACUCUUGAUUGCUAUGAAGCCAACAGUGAGAGUUCACUGUUCCUACGCCACCCCACAGGCAUACUCUAAAAAUAAGCCAAAAAAAAAAAUCCGAAGAAAUUCUGAUUUCCAAAUUGACCGACCAAAGUUAAAAAAUGAAAAGAAUAAGAAUCUACAGAGCCUGCUGUACGGCCAAGGCGGAUGUACGGUACAGCAGUUUUAUUUAGUUUCUAUCCGACAUUUACUGUGAUAGGCAAUGAAAUUGGUGCAAAUAAAUUACGGACCAACAUUGUUUAAUCUCAUUGGACAGAUCGUUAUAACUCAAUAGUACAGCAGGUAAAAUAUCUUUUUCAAAAUCUUCCACCUGCCAAAUUUCACUAUCUAAGAUAUUUUGCCACUCUUCUCUAGUUUUUUUAACCACAACAAACCCCAGAUAGUUUUAGCCGCAAGUGGCAACAUUCUGGUUUAGACAAUUAUUUCUACCAAUUUCUUCUAAUUGUUCGCACUCUAAACGAGAUCGAUUGAGAAAAGCAAAUCGUUUAAAUAGCGACAACAUUCUGGUUUAGACAAUUCUUUAAUGAAGAUAAGAUAGAAUUAUUAAUGCGUUGAUGAAGUGAAUUCAGUUCACCUAAAUUAGGAGUAGAACCUUCUAAAUUUUCGAUGAUGGCUUUCGCAAUUCGAAACUCAUCGAAAGGGUCCGAAACACAAACCCAGAUCCUAACAUUAAAAUUGUUGAUUACAUCUGCAUCGUUGUAAGCCAAUUGAGCAAGAGUUGUCUUUCCGAUACCACCCAUCCCUACGAGAGAGAUGAGUUGGAUGGCAUUUGGUUGUUCAGCAGUCUCACUUAACAACUUGCCCUUCAGAGCAUUUUUCUCCUCAUUUCGACCACACACUUCAGACACAUUAAUUAAGGCAGUACUUUGCGUCCUCUCAGAUUUAUCCUCCUUACUUCUAGUGACACUCAAAUUAAACGUAUCUUUCUGUCGGGAAAUAUUAUCUAAAGUUUCAUUCAUUUCUUUUAUCUUUUUAGCAAUAUCACGACGCAGAAAGAGUUGUUCGAAACCAAAGCAAGAGGCAGCAGGAAAGAAAGAGCUGCAUAACUUCUGCAGGAAAGAAAGAGCAUUAUCAGCAUCAACUCCCUCGUUUUGCAGUUUGCCCCUGGCAGUAUUCCACUCAUCCAACACAUCAUCAAUGUCGUAGGAUGCUUGUUUGAGCUUGUCUAACCAGAGUCUCACGUGUUCCUCCUUCACUUGCCUUCGCUCUGCAUCAGCCAGCACAGCUUGAAUGGCUUCUAAAUUGUCUUGCAGCCUUUUCACUUCUUUUUCGACGCCCGUUACCAGCCUCACCUGUUCUUUUGCCUCUUCAACUGCCGUUGAAUUCAGCUGCUUUAAGACAGCGGACACGAUCGCAUCAACCAUUUUGAAAGUUGGAAGCUUAAAGAUGAGAGAAUGAAAUUUGUGAGUUAUAAUUUCUGGACUUACAUGUAUGCAGGAGAAGACUUAGAUAACAUAUAGGUGAAAAACAAUCGGAGUUGACUCCGAACAAUCGAACUGAUCGCUUGAAUGGGUUCGGUUUGGUUCGGUUUGCUUUCGUUUCAGAUUACGAAAUAAUAAAUUAAAUAAAAAUAAUAGUAAGAUAAAAUUAUUAUGAAAUAAUUAUAGUUAUGUGAAAUGUUCAUUAGAAUAAAUUUUUUAUUUCUCCACUAAAUAAUUUUUUUCUCUUAUAGUUUUUUAUAUUUCUUACAAAUUU